This 497-nucleotide ribosomal RNA is filed under the name uncultured bacterium. RNAcentral's name for it is "partial 16S ribosomal RNA". It matches the Rfam family "Bacterial small subunit ribosomal RNA", at positions 28 to 507 of the family's 1533-position model. The record is from RNAcentral.
GAUGAACGCUGGCGGCGUGCCUAAUACAUGCCAGUCGAGCGGACAGACGAGGAUCUUGCUCCUUUGUCGUUAGCCGAGGAGGUGUGAGUAACACGUGUAUAAUCUACCUAUAAGACUGGGAUCACUACGGGACAGCGGAUAUAACACCGGAUAAUAUCUUGAACCGUAUGGUUCAAUGGAGAAAGACGGCUUUGCUGUCACUUCUCGCUGGUUAUCCGCCGGUUUAGCUAGUUGGUAAGGUAACGGCUUUCCAAGGCGAGCAUGCGUAGCCGAACUGAGAGGGUGAUCGGCCACACGGGAACUGAGACACGGACCAGGCUCCUGCGGGAGGCAGCAGUAGGGAAUCGUCCGCAGUGGGCGAAAGCCUUGCGGAGCAGCGCCGCGCGUGUGAUGACGGUCUUCGGAUCGUAAAACUCUGUUAUGAGUGAUGAACAGAUGUGGAAGGAACCAUGCACGUCUUGACGGUACCGAAUCAAAAAGCAACGGCUAACUACGUG